UCACCGUUGGUGAACCAGCGGAGGGAUCAUUACAGGACUCGCAAGACUCCUUCACCCUGUGAACCUCACUACAAGCACGUUGCUUCGGCGGGUGUCCCGGCGGGGGUUUUCCCUCGCCGGGGCGCACAGCCCGCCGGCAGCCUACUAUACUCUGUCUCUUUGCGUUGGCAUCUCGAGAAAAAACAAACAAGUUAAAACUUUCAACAACGGAUCUCUUGGUUCUG
This 224-nucleotide unclassified non-coding RNA is filed under the name plant metagenome. RNAcentral describes it as "partial contains small subunit ribosomal RNA, internal transcribed spacer 1, and 5.8S ribosomal RNA". The record is from RNAcentral.